AUCAGGAUGCAGCUGGUCACCGAGGCGCGCUCAAUUCAACUCAGGAACUGCAAGCGAAAGGAAUCCGGGUCACCCGAGGUUUCCACUGUGCGUCUCUGUGAAGGUUGAAGGGAACUGCCAAAGAAGUUUGUAUUUUUACGAUACAUAACGUUAGCUCGUCUUUUCUUGGCAUUACAAGUGGCGAGCCAACAACACAGCAAACUCCCGUGUUACUGCAACGUCCCGAACACGCGUUUAAGCCAAUGGACCGCACCGUUAAAAUGAACGCAAUUAACGGCUCUGGUCGCGUUGGCUAACGUUCACGAGCUAGCUUAAUUUAGCUUAACUUGGGGGGGGGGACUUGUGGUUGGUUUUGCACUGUGAACUGAACUGUUUCACCCGUCGCGCUGAACCAUUUCUCGCUGUGCCCCGCGGAGGGCCGUGCGAACGAUGGCAAGAAAGAAUGAGGCUAAAGAAAACGGGAAGGCCAGACUCAAAGCGAAGACGCCGAAGAAGCGCAGAGACUAUGAAAACGAUGGAGCCACGGGAUAUGCGACCUGGAACAGUGCCAAGUCCACUGAAGCGACACAGAUACCGGGAAGACGAACGCCUCAGAAAAAGGUCAAGACACCCAAGACUGAACCCCUGGACUCUGCCAUCCGUGAGUCGGUGAAACCGAAACAAGAGGGUGAGGAAAGAAAAGGAAUAAAAAGGAAAAGAGUAAAAGAAAAGCUCACAGACGACCCUUCACACUCCACUGCUUCACAUUCGUCAAAGAAGGAAAGUGCAGAAAAAGAAGAAAAGGAGGUUGGGAAAAGGAGAAUAAGGAGGACAAAACGUGCUGUGACGGCGGCAAGACUGCUGAAGAUCCAAAAGCAGGAGGAGGAGCAGCAGCAGAGUUGCUGGAGAUGGUGGGAGGAGAAGAAGUAUGAAGAUGGGGUGAAAUGGAAGUUUCUGGAACACAACGGACCCUAUUUCCCUCCCGACUACCAGCCUCUGCCAGACAACGUUCACUUCUUUUAUGAUGGUAUGGAGGUGAAGCUGAGCCCGGCCGCUGAAGAGGUGGCGGUUUUCUUUGGCCGGAUGUUGGACCAUGAGUACACCUUCGAGGAGGUGUUCCAGGCUAACUUCUUGACCGAUUGGAGGAAGGAAAUGGUCGAUGAGGAGAGAUUGCUGAUUACAGAUCUGGACAAAUGUGACUUCCGGGAGAUCCAUACCAUGCACAAAGCCACGGUGGAGGCCAAGAAAAACUCCACCGUAGCGGAGAAACUGGCCUUGAAAGAGGCCAACCAGAAGAUUUUGGAGGAAUAUGGCUACUGUCUGCUGGACCACCACAAAGAGCGCAUUGGCAACUUCAAGAUUGAGCCUCCGGGGCUGUUCCGCGGUCGAGGCGGGCAUCCCAAGAAGGGAAUGCUGAAGAAAAGGAUCCAACCAGAGGACGUCACCAUCAACUGCAGCAGCGAAUCCCGAGUUCCCGUGCCGCCUGCUGGUCACAGCUGGAAGCAGGUUCGCCAUGACAACACUGUGACAUGGCUGGCGAGCUGGACCGAGAACAUCCAGGGCGUCACUAAAUACAUCAUGCUGAAUGCCAACUCUAAACUCAAGGGAGAGAAGGACUGGGAGAAAUACGAGAUGGCCCGGAAGCUGAAGUUGUGUGUUGACGACAUCCGUAACCAGUACCUUCAGGAUCUCAAAUCCGAAGAUAUGGUCACACGUCAAAGAGCCGUGGCCCUCUACUUCAUAGACAAGCUGGCACUGAGAGCUGAAAAUGAGAAGGAGGAGGGAGAGACGGCAGACACAGUCGGUUGCUGCUCGCUACGUGUGGAGCACGUCACCCUUCACAAGAAGCUGGAAGGCAACAAGUAUGUGGUGGAGUUAGACUUCCUGGGUAAAGAUAGCAUCCGCUACUACAACAAGGUCUCCGUCAUCAAGAAGGUUUUUAAGAAUCUUAAUAUGUUCCUGGAGGACAGAAAUCCUGGGGAUGAACUCUUUGGCAGACUCAACACUAUCAUGCUGAACAAGCACCUGAGCUCUCUAAUGACCGGUCUGACCGCCAGGGUCUUCAGGACGUACAACGCUUCCAUCACCUUACAGGAGCAGCUCAAAGAGCUGACAAACAAGUCUGACAAUGAGCAGGAGAAGCUGCUGUGCUACAACAAGGCAAACAGAGCAGUUGCCAUUCUGUGUAACCACCAGCGGGCGCUGCCAAAGACCUUCGAGCAGUCUAUGGCCAACCUCCAGGCCAAGAUUGAUGAUCAGAAGAAAUAUCUGGCCCUCUUAAAGACAGAGCUCAAACAGGCCAAGAAGAAGGCAAAGACCAAAGGCAGCUCGGACCCCAAGCUGCAGACGUGGUGGACAAGAAGGCAGCGGUGCGGCGCUGCAAGGAGAAGCUGCUGAAGUUGGAUGUCCAGGCGAUAAACAGAGAGGAAAACAAACAGAUUGCACUUGGUACCUCAAAGGUCAGCUACCUGGACCCGCGCAUCACCGUGGCCUGGUGCAAGAACAUGGCGGUACGAAUAGAAAAAAUCUACAAUAAGGCCCAAAGGGACAAAUUUGCCUGGGCCAUCAACAUGACGGAGGACGACUUUGAGUUCUAAACUGAUGCAAUUAAGGAACCUUUCACUUAAUACAUACAAAACUUUAAUAUUGCAUUCAUAAAAUGUUCACUAAAUGUUCCACCUUCCUUACAUUGUAUAACAUGCUUUGUUUACUGCUAAAGUAUGUUUAAGGCUUUUGGCACUUAAUUCUGUUGGUCAUUUGCUCUGUGAAUUUUGUUUGCAGUCAUGUGACUCUUUUGGGAAGCCAUUCUACCUCUAAUUCAGUUGACAUUAAAUGGUUAACAUAUUA
Molecule: RNA transcript, 2826 nt
Organism: Gasterosteus aculeatus aculeatus (three-spined stickleback)
Lineage: Eukaryota; Metazoa; Chordata; Actinopteri; Perciformes; Gasterosteidae
Gene name: DNA topoisomerase 1
Source: RefSeq, a predicted model, not a curated record